This 79-nucleotide small RNA is filed under the name Jejuia pallidilutea. RNAcentral describes it as "Flavo-1 RNA". It matches the Rfam family "Flavo-1 RNA". The record is from RNAcentral. Lineage: Bacteria; Pseudomonadati; Bacteroidota; Flavobacteriia; Flavobacteriales; Flavobacteriaceae.
GAUUGGACCGCGUUAGGGAUAGAAGUGGCAUCCUUUUUUGAGGUACGAUAAAAAGAUAUAACGGAUAGCCCGACCCCGC